Molecule: ribosomal RNA, 497 nt
Filed under: uncultured bacterium
Lineage: Bacteria
Description: partial 16S ribosomal RNA
Rfam family: Bacterial small subunit ribosomal RNA
Source: RNAcentral
GAUGAACGCUGGCGGCGUGCCUAAUACAUGCAAGUCGAGCGAACAGACGAGGAGCUUGCUCCUUUGACGUUAGCGGCGGACGGGUGAGUAACACGUAGGUAACCUACCUAUAAGACUGGGAUAACUUCGGGAAACCGGAGCUAAUACCGGAUAAUAUUUCGAACCGCAUGGUUCGAUAGUGAAAGAUGGCUUUGCUAUCACUUAUAGAUGGACCUGCGCCGUAUUAGCUAGUUGGUAAGGUAACGGCUUACCAAGGCAACGAUACGUAGCCGACCUGAGAGGGUGAUCGGCCACACUGGAACUGAGACACGGUCCAGACUCCUACGGGAGGCAGCAGUAGGGAAUCUUCCGCAAUGGGCGAAAGCUUGACGGAGCAACGCCGCGUGAGUGAUGAAGGUCUUCGGAUCGUAAAACUCUGUUAUUAGGGAAGAACAAACGUGUAAGUAACUGUGCACGUCUUGACGGUACCUAAUCAGAAAGCCACGGCUAACUACGUG